This is a non-coding RNA of Cinara cedri, 516 nucleotides long. The record is from the annotation of a GenBank genome assembly. NCBI's taxonomy places the organism in Eukaryota, Metazoa, Arthropoda, Insecta, Hemiptera, Aphididae.
GAGGCAUCUCUUAUAGAGUAGUCUCCAAGUGAUUUAAUAGACAGUCGCCCGGAAUCACUAAAAGGAGAGGUGAAAACGAAAUAGCAGAUUUGUUUUUCCCGGUCAGAUCAGUAGUGCACUGGCCAGACGUUCUUCUCGAAAUACGCGAACCACUUACCAUCCUUCUCAAAACUAAAGCAGCAAAACCUAACGAACGAGGGUAUUCCGUUCUCACCGUCGACGAGUUCAGGUUAGCAGUUGCUUUAAUGCUUAAAAACAAGGCUACCGCACCCGACAGUGUCCCAAAUGAGGUCUUCUCGGUGAUUUUUAUGAGAUCGCCUGAAGUCCUCCUGAAGAUCUACAACUGAGUGAGUCCGUCUUUCCGAAUAGGUGGAAACGAGCCAGGUUUAUACUCUUCUACAAGGUCCUGGACAAGCUUAUAGACAACCCGUUUAGUUUCCCAUAUUUUCCUGAGGUUGAUUUAUAUCACUUACGGUUUUAGCCUUCUCCCAAAGGCAAGGCAUUGAUUGUACAUUC